CAGCAGCCGCGGUAAAACCGAGGGUGCAAGCGUUAAUCGGAAUUACUGGGCGUAAAGCGCGCGUAGGUGGUUCGCCAAGUUGGAUGUGAAAUCCCCGGGCUCAACCUGGGAACUGCAUCCAAAACUGGCGAGCUAGAGUAUGGUAGAGGGUGGUGGAAUUUCCUGUGUAGCGGUGAAAUGCGUAGAUAUAGGAAGGAACAUCAGUGGCGAAGGAGACCACCUGGACUGAUACUGACACUGAGGUGCGAAAGCGUGGGGAGCAAACAGGAUUAGAUACCCGGGUAGUCCCUGUCUCUUAUAC
Molecule: ribosomal RNA, 301 nt
Filed under: uncultured bacterium
Lineage: Bacteria
Description: partial 16S ribosomal RNA
Rfam family: Bacterial small subunit ribosomal RNA
Source: RNAcentral